RNAcentral lists this ribosomal RNA (253 nucleotides) under uncultured bacterium. Its description in RNAcentral is "partial 16S ribosomal RNA". It matches the Rfam family "Bacterial small subunit ribosomal RNA", at positions 524 to 776 of the family's 1533-position model. The record is from RNAcentral.
UACGGGGGGGGCAAGCGUUGUUCGGAAUUACUGGGCGUAAAGGGCUCGUAGGUGGCAAACUAAGUCAGACGUGAAAUCCCCAGGCUUAACCUGGGAACUGCGUCUGAUACUGGAUGGCUUGAAUUCGGGAGAGGGAUGCAGAGUUCCAGGUGUAGCGGUGAAAUGCGUAGAUAUCUGGAGGAAUACCGGUGGCGAAGGCGGCAUCCUGGACCGGCAUUGACGCUGAGGAGCGAAAGCUAGGGGAGCAAACGGG